Long non-coding RNA from Lutra lutra (Eurasian river otter), 1339 nucleotides. RefSeq lists it as uncharacterized. The record is from RefSeq and is a predicted model, not a curated record. Lineage: Eukaryota; Metazoa; Chordata; Mammalia; Carnivora; Mustelidae. The transcript has 4 exons.
UCUGGAGCUGCGGUCCUGGGUUGAAUUCUGAGCAUGGAGUUCUGAGGUUUUUCCUGUUUCUAAAUGAGGACAUGCAGCUCUGCCCUGAAGCCCGCUAGUGGAAUUUAGAUCCGGUGUGUUUCUCUUAUGAUGUGGAUUCCUGCUGUAAAGGCCAUUUGUGAAAUCUCGUCUGGAACCUGCAUGGGUAAAGCGGUCAGAAGAGGAGCUUCUCUGAUCAGAAAAAGAAAUGAGAAACAUAUGGGAGCCCAUGAAGAUUUGCCAUUCUCUCGCUUUCUACCACCUUUCAGUGCCAGGGCCUGAGAAUACACAGACGUGGGCACAGACAGCAGGCCAGUCAUCAUUCCUAGUGAAGGAUGGCAGCAACUCUAAGGCCCCAGGCCCAUCAUGCCAUUGAGCUCUUCUUUCCAUUAUCAAAGCCACUGAAACCCAAACCCAACACUUAAGGCAAGAAACUCCUGUCUGUGAAUCGCUCGCAGGUCAUUCAAGUUUGUGGAGGAAUCCCUCAAGAAAAGGGGAGUAUGUAUUGGGAUCUAGUUUCUGAUUACUUCUAUCUGUGUAUCCAGUGGGGUGAGAAUUUGAACAAAUGAGUCAUUCUGCCACACAGAUGAGGGGGCCUGGGGUAGUUGUACACAUCUCCUCUCAGUCCUCAGGGAUAUGAGCUGGACUGUGGUGGGGAAAUAGUCACGUGAGGUAGGGGGCAGGACCCCCUAAAUAGCUCCUUUCUUAUGGCCUUUUCAGAUGAAGGAGGAAGAUGAUUAUCAGAGCACUAAAUUACAUAGUAUUUUGCCAGGUGAAUCUUUUAAAGAUUGGUUUAGAUAAUUAAAAAGAUGGAAUUUAAUAUUGGGUCAUUAGGAGCACAUCUCUUAAGUUAAAGAGUGGCAAUUAUCCAUGUGGUUCAGGCAGAAGUUCUAGAUCAUUUGAAGCAAAUGGAGAAUUUUUCUCAUUGUAAUUGGGAAACAGCUUCCCCCUAAGGGCCCAAAGGGUCACAAAAAUUAGAAUAAUUUAACUAGAAGGCCUCUAAAUGAUGUUUUUCCCAAUUGAAGGAUACUAUGUAUUUGUCUAAGGCACACAGUAUGUUAUGGGGUUGCAGUUAAUGGGGAAAAACAUUUUUAUGUGUUUUACUUUUAGAUGUAGAUGUCGAACAAAACAAUACUCUCAAAACCCAUAACUCACUUGAUGGCCUUAGUAUUAAAGCAUAUCUAGUCUUCCAAGUCUCCUUUUAAAAUAAGAGAUUAGAGGAAGUAGGACUUGGGUAAGAAUAUUGUGACAUUCUUUCCAAGGAAAUUUCGUUCACAUUGGUGUUUUCAGUUUUCCCACAAUGUGUAUUUUAAUGCUUAAA